GGGCGUAAAGCGAGCGUAGGUGGCUUGAUAAAGUCAGAUGUGAAAUCCCCGGGCUUAACCUGGGAACUGCAUCUGAUACUGUUAAGCUAGAGUAGGUGAGAGGGAAGUAGAAUUCCAGGUGUAGCGGUGAAAUGCGUAGAGAUCUGGAGGAAUACCGAUGGCGAAGGCAGCUUCCUGGCAUCAUACUGACACUGAGGCUCGAAAGCGUGGGUAGCAAACAGGAUUAGAUACCCUGGUAGUCCACGCCGUAAACGAUGUCUACUAGUCGUUGGGUCCCUUGAGGACUUAGUGACGCAGCUAACGCAAUAAGUAGACCGCCUGGGGAGUACGGCCGCAAGGUUAAAACUCAAAUGAAUUGACGGGGGCCCGCACAAGCGGUGGAGCAUGUGGUUUAAUUCGAUGCAACGCGAAGAACCUUACCUGGUCUUGACAUACACAGAAUCUUGUAGAGAUACGAGAGUGCCUUCGGGAAUUGUGAUACAGGUGCUGCAUGGCUGUCGUCAGCUCGUGUCGUGAGAUGUUGGGUUAAGUCCCGCAACGAGCGCAACCCUUGUCCUUAGUUACCAGCGGGUUAAGCCGGGAACUCUAAGGAUACUGCCAGUGACAAACUGGAGGAAGGCGGGGACGACGUCAAGUCAUCAUGGCCCUUACGACCAGGGCUACACACGUGCUACAAUGGUAGGUACAGAGGGCAGCUACACAGCGAUGUGAUGCGAAUCUCAAAAAGCCUAUCGUAGUCCAGAUUGGAGUCUGCAACUCGACUCCAUGAAGUAGGAAUCGCUAGUAAUCGCGGAUCAGAAUGCCGCGGUGAAUACGUUCCCGGGCCUUGUACACACCGCCCGUCACACCAUGGGAGUUGAUUGCACCAGAAGUGGUUAGCCUAACUUAGUGAGGGCGAUCACCACGGUGUGGUUGAUGACU
This 921-nucleotide ribosomal RNA is filed under the name Psychrobacter celer. Its description in RNAcentral is "bacterial SSU rRNA". It matches the Rfam family "Bacterial small subunit ribosomal RNA", at positions 556 to 1476 of the family's 1533-position model. Lineage: Bacteria; Pseudomonadati; Pseudomonadota; Gammaproteobacteria; Moraxellales; Moraxellaceae. The record is from RNAcentral.